This 311-nucleotide ribosomal RNA is filed under the name uncultured bacterium. RNAcentral describes it as "bacterial SSU rRNA". It matches the Rfam family "Bacterial small subunit ribosomal RNA", at positions 28 to 334 of the family's 1533-position model. The record is from RNAcentral.
GAUGAACGCUGGCGGCGCAUUUAAGACAUGCAAGUCGAACGAGCGAGAGAGAGCUUACUUUCUCAAGCGAGUGGCGAACGGGUGAGUAACGCGUGAGGAACCUGCCUCAAAGAGGGGGACAACAGUUGGAAACGACUGCUAAUACCGCAUAGGCCCACAGGUCGGCAUCGACCAGAGGGAAAAGGAGCAAUCCGCUUUGAGAUGGCCUCGCGUCCGAUUAGCUAGUUGGUGAGGUAACGGCCCACCAAGGCGGCGAUCGGUAGCCGGACUGAGAGGUUGAACGGCCACAUUGGGACUGAGACACGGCCCAG